This 158-nucleotide ribosomal RNA is filed under the name Telimena canafistulae. RNAcentral describes it as "5.8S ribosomal RNA". It matches the Rfam family "5.8S ribosomal RNA". Rfam says of the family: 5.8S ribosomal RNA (5.8S rRNA) is a component of the large subunit of the eukaryotic ribosome. It is transcribed by RNA polymerase I as part of the 45S precursor that also contains 18S and 28S rRNA. Lineage: Eukaryota; Fungi; Ascomycota; Sordariomycetes; Phyllachorales; Telimenaceae. The record is from RNAcentral.
AAACUUUCAACAACGGAUCUUUUGGUUCGGGCAUCGAUGAAGAACGCAGCGAAAUGCGAUAAGUAAUGUGAAUUGCAAAACUCAGCGAAUCAUCGAAUCUUUGAACGCACAUUGCGCCCGGGAGUAUUCUUCCGGGCAUGCCUGUUCGAGCGUCAUUU